UACGAACUGUGCGAACGUUAUUCGGAAUCACUGGGCUUAAAGGGUGCGUAGGCGGCUUGCCAAGUCAGGUGUGAAAUCCCCCGGCUCAACCGGGGAACAGCGCUUGAUACUAGCAGGCUGGAGUGAGGUAAGGGUGUGCGGAACUUCCAGUGGAGCGGUGAAAUGUGUAGAUAUUGGAAGGAACGCCGGUGGCGAAAGCGGCACACUGGGCCUUGUCUGACGCUGAGGCACGAAAGCUAGGGAAGUGAACGGG
This 253-nucleotide ribosomal RNA is filed under the name uncultured bacterium. RNAcentral's name for it is "partial 16S ribosomal RNA". It matches the Rfam family "Bacterial small subunit ribosomal RNA", at positions 524 to 776 of the family's 1533-position model. The record is from RNAcentral.